RNAcentral lists this ribosomal RNA (396 nucleotides) under Scolelepis sp. GF-28680_20547. RNAcentral's name for it is "partial large subunit ribosomal RNA". It matches the Rfam family "Bacterial large subunit ribosomal RNA", at positions 1925 to 2536 of the family's 2925-position model. The record is from RNAcentral. Lineage: Eukaryota; Metazoa; Annelida; Polychaeta; Spionida; Spionidae.
ACCUUUGCACGGUCAGGAUACAGUGCAAAGGUAGCAUAAUAAUUUGCCUCUUAAUUAGAGGCUGGAAUGAAGGAACAUACGAGAGUAAAGCUGUUUCAUUUUUAUUAACCGAAAAUUAACCUUCAGAUGAAGAGGUCUGAAUAGAAAAGAAAGACAAAAAGACCCUAUUGAGCUUUACUUUACCAAGAUUUACCAAAAGAGAAUCUAUAACCAAAAAUCUUGAAAGAGUUUUGUUGGGGCGACAGAAGAAGACCUAAAUCUUCUUUAUCUCCAAAAGGUCAUCACCCUUAUAAAGAUCCGGUCUCCCGAUUAAAAGAUCUAGCUACCAUAGGGAUAACAGGCUAAUUCUCUCUAAGAGCCCAUAUUGACGAGAGAGAUUGGCACCUCGAUGUUGGC